Esox lucius (northern pike) is the source of this 1108-nucleotide long non-coding RNA. The record is from Ensembl. Lineage: Eukaryota; Metazoa; Chordata; Actinopteri; Esociformes; Esocidae.
UAAGAACACCAUCCCUGCCGUGAAGCAUACCGGUGGCUGCAUCAUGCUAUGGGGAUGCUUCUCUGCGUCAAGGCCUUGAAAGCUUGUAAAGAUAGAGGACAAAGUGUAUGUAGAAAAGUACAGAGAAAUCCUGAAAGAAAAAUCUGCAAGAGACAUGGGGCUUGGAAGAAGAUUAUUCUUCCAGCUGGGCAAUGACCCCAAACACACAGCCAAAGCCACACUGGAGUGGCUUUAAAACAGACAAGUUAAAGGUCCUGGAGGGGCCCAGUCAAAGCCCAGACCUGAAUCCAAUUGAGAAUAUGUGGAUAUAGUCUAACAUUGCUGUUCACCAAAGGUCCCCAUCCAACUUGCAGGAUCCACAUACAGAGUCUCUUGCAGUGUCCCAUGGAUCUGCUGUCUUGUGUCCUAUGGAUCUACUGUCUUGUGUCCCAUGGAUCUGCUGUCUUGUGUCCCAUGGAUCUGCUGUCUUGUGUCCCAUGGAUCUGCUGUGCAGUGUCCCAUGGAUCUGCUGUCUUGUGUCCCAUCGAUCGGCUGUAUUGUGUCCCACGGAUCUGCUGUCUUGUGUCCCAUGGAUCUGCUGUCCAGUGUCCCAUGGAUCUGCUGUCCAGUGUUCCAUGGAUCUGCUGUCCAGUGUCCCAUCGAUCUGCUGUCUUGUGUCCCAUCGAUCUGCUGUCUUGUGUCCCAUGGAUCUGCUGUCCAGUGUCCCAUGGAUCUGCUGUCCAGUGUCCCAUGGAUCUGCUGUCCAGUGUCCCAUGGAUCUGCUGUCCAGUGUUCCAUGGAUCUGCUGUCUUGUGUCCCAUGGAUCUGCUGUCCUGUGGUCCCAUCGAUGGACAGAGACGAGAGACCUAAACCAACUCAUCACAGGACCAGGCUUCACAGGGACCUGACUCCUGGGGGGAAAGACUCCCAACAAACAGUAGAAUAGAAUCAGAAGGCAGAUAAUUAGGUACAGCCAUCUAGUACUGGGCUGGGGUCACUGUUCAUUUGGAGUCAUUUGCAGCAUGUUGAAUACAGCCCAUUUCAUCUUAUCCCAAAGCUUUUAUCAAAACUCUGUAAAGUUAAUAAAUUUAACUGCUGAUUUAAAAGAAAUAAAAGACUUUGUGAAAGA